Long non-coding RNA from Daphnia pulex (common water flea), 2721 nucleotides. RefSeq lists it as uncharacterized. Lineage: Eukaryota; Metazoa; Arthropoda; Branchiopoda; Diplostraca; Daphniidae. The transcript has 3 exons. The record is from RefSeq and is a predicted model, not a curated record.
GGAAGGGGUUUUUAUUUUUUUCUGGCUUUUUUUUAUAUUUUGCAAUGCUGUGAGAGUGUUUCCUGUUGAGAGAGAAGCGAUACGAUUUUAUUUGUCAGUCGUGUGGGUUCCUUCCGUCGAGAGAGUGGUCUUUCAUAUUUUUCUGCUCUGUUUGUGUUGUGUUUGUUUCGUUCAAGUGUUUUCCUGGAUGGAUUUUUUUGUGCACGUGGUUUAUUUUUUCGAUGCUCGUAUUUUUUUUGUGGUUGAUUUUUGUUAGUUGUGGGAUUUUGGAAGUAUGGCGUGUCAUGGUAUGGCGUAUCUGGGUUUCGUACGUUUUUUUUUUUAAAUUUGUAUUUCAGCUCUAGAUUAAUUCGUUUUACACUCUACUCUACAGUUUAGAGAUGAGUCGUUGACAUGAAAAGUUUCAGUAGAUUAGAUUCACAAAUUGACAUUUUAUCUGUGUUUGAUUUAUGUUUGGCAACGGUGGUGUUUUUGAUUUCGUGUUGAUUUGCCGCUCUCGUUGUCGGCGCUGCUCUCGCUGUGUUUCCUCUUUCUGGUGUCAUCUGAUAUUUUUUCCUUUUUUUCCAGUUGGUGGUUAUUCCCGAUUCAUGGGAGGUUGGUUCCACCUUUUUUAUCUAUGUUUGUUGUGGCAUGCUUGACCGAAAUUUUGUAGUAGAAGCCUUUGAGAUCCAGGCUUUUGGUCAUUUCAGUGUCGUCAUUCCAGAGGGCAAGUUUCAUCUGAAAGGCUCAAGGAUUCAUCGAAGACAUCCAGUUCCUUUUUGGUGAGCCCGCCCUUGAGUUCAUUUGUUUCCCACUCUUUUCGGAUGAUGGCCUCAACAUCUAAUGGAAGUAUUUAUUAAUGUCUUCUAUUAGAUCGGAGGGCUUUUGAGUUUUUUUUUACAUAUUGCAGAUCCGUGGUUAAGAUCUUGAGUUUCUUUUAGCAUAGUUCUUCUAACCAUGUUUGUUCCUUGAAAGUCAGGUUCUGCGUCCACUUUUUGGAUCUGUGAUAAGUUUUGUUAGAUUAGGUGGGUCUUUUUGUAUACUUUGUUUAUAUAUAUAUUUUUUUUUAAAUUACUUGUGUUCUUUGUGAUAUCACGAUUUCGUGAUUCAAUGGGUAAAUCUGAUCUUUUCUGGUCGCUGCGUUCACUCGGGCAUCUUUUAGUGUAUAAAAUUGUCCUUGCUGGAUGACGUUGAAGUAUUUCUGCGCUUGAUUUGCGAAUGCUACGGUUCUAAUCAUUCCUAAUUUAUCUCGCAGCCCGAAGAAAAAUACUUGGCCGUUGCUUUUAGUAGGAAACAGUCUAGAAAUGCGCUCGACCCUUCCUUUGAUUUUCCAUCUGAAAUGUUAAAUAUUGGUUAGUACUGUAGAUUUAUUUUUAAAAAAAUGAACGUGAUGAAUCGAUCUUACGCGUUGAGUUGAGGAGUGAUUUCGGUGACUUCGUUGUUGGCUCCAUUUGAUUUCGCCGUUGUUUUAUUUUCGCUUGUUCCGGCUGUGGCUUGGUUGUUUACUUCCUCGUCGCUCGAACUGCUGUCGCUCGCUCGAAUCAUUUUGAGGAAUUGUGUGCUGCGUCGAUAGAGCUGAGUGUUAUUUAUAGAUAAGACGCGGUUUAUAGAGUAGUAGACGGUUGUUUGUAAGUCGACGAUGGAUUCGUUGAAAUUGCAAUGAUUUCUUCUUAUUCUUCGGGUUUUUGUUGCUUGGAAGAAGGUUUGUAGAGUAGUAGACGGUUGUUUGUAAGUCGACGAUGGAUUCGUUGAAAUUACGAUUCUUAUUCUUCGGCUUUUGUGGCUUGGAAGACGUAUAAUGUUUUAUUUACGUCUGGGAACUUCUUUGAAUUGAAUCUUUCUUUUUAUGGUACGAUUGUUUCCAAUUUAUCGACGUUUUGUGGUUCAAGGGGAAAAAAAAGUAUGUGAAAAUCGCAGUCGUUCAGCAAACUGAGUUGUGUUCGGUUGGCUUUUAUUUUUCUUGUCCAGGCCAAGGAAAUCGAAAAAUUUCGAGAUGUUUGUGAAAUUUUGCUUUUUUGCAUUUUUUUUCUUGGCUCAUAGUCAAGAUUUGAGUAUUAAUACUGAGGGGCAUGUUUUUGAGCGUGAUUUGGAAACUACUUCAACUACACCUGCUCCGAUGACUACUGUAACUACACCUGCAUCGAUGAUUCCCGAUGUAUCGAGAAACCAGCUUCUUUGCAUUAUUGCAAUUGUUGUAGGGUGUGUGGUUUCCUUUUUCAUUUGUGCUGUUUGUUCUUGUUAUCUCUGUAAGAGAUAUUCUAAGGUAAGAAAGAUGGUAGAUUCUAUUUUUUUUUGUUCAAUAUUAUAUUUGUAUUUUGGUUCUAAAAUUAGAGUGGUCAUGGAGUUCAGUUUCAAAGCCCCUCUUUUCUUUUCAACGCGGGGUCCGGCUUCCGGGAACGCUUGUCGAUGGUGAAAGAAGACCUUUCAUGAAGAUUUUCUUUUUCUGUUGGUGAUUUUAAUUUAUCUAAAAUCCAAGUGUUAUCGUAAUCUGGUUUGUGAAAUUUGUUAAAACGUUGUUUCACCUUGAUUAGUUCUGAAUUUGUACUGUUUUGCAGUAGAAGUCUCGUUGUUUUAAGAUGUAUUUUGGAUAGCUUUGUUUGUUUUAGUUUGUGCGUAUUUGGCGAAGGGUUCUCUGUUGUGGUAUGGUUUGAUGAUUUAUGAUAUAAUUUCUCUAUUCAUAAUGAAUUGUAGGUCAAUUAUUGUAGUCCUUUCAUUGCUUACAAUGGUCCUUAUCUUACUAAG